This 2221-nucleotide long non-coding RNA is filed under the name Bemisia tabaci. RNAcentral's name for it is "lncRNA ENSSSA2NGG011278". The record is from RNAcentral. Lineage: Eukaryota; Metazoa; Arthropoda; Insecta; Hemiptera; Aleyrodidae.
UCCUAUCAAUGUCAAGCACUGGGAAGUCAAAACUGAUUUGCCAUCAGUGUCAUUACAAGACGUGGCGCGCGCAACUGUUAGUGGGAUUCAGAAGAACCAACACACCGUUGCAUAUCCCUUCUAUGUUUAUGCGCUGUGUCUUGCUGUGAAGUGUAUUCCGCAACCUGCAUCAGACUAUUGGUACGAAUCAUUCCAGGUUGAGCUAUCUGACAAAAAGGACUAGAAAGAAACGGACAUUUCAUGAAUGAAGCAGACCAAGUGUACUCAAUGCGAAAUAUUUCGAGGAUGGCUCGUCUCUUUUAGGAGGAGGCAUCUUUUAGAUUCAAACACUGAAGAAUUUCCCAAGAGCAAAAAUUCAAGGCUAAUAACUUAACAGGGCUAAACUUUGUGACAUUUAGCUUAACUUUUAGUUCACUAGACCCAGGUUCUCAUAAUAUUCCCUCCAUUUGAUAUCGCAACUCUAGUUGUUUUAAAUUUCAUUUAUUAGCCAUGAUGUCGCUAUAUUUUCAAAGGUUUUCAUCGCCGUGCGAGAGUAUCACCUCAUAUGUCUAGUUGCACAUGCACAGUGUGGACUUGAUUAAAAUACGGAAGUGCCGAAACAAUUACGUUUCUUAAAGGGUUCUCAGGGUGUCAGUGACCCUUAAUAAGUGUCCGCCUCAAAUUGCCCACAACUUAAAACCAAGGGCGAGGCGUGAAUGAUCGAUUAUCGAAAUGUCCCCAUUUGAAGCUAUGGUAAAGAAUCGAUUAUUCAGAGAUUAGUUGCGAAAACCUUGUUUAUCAGUGGCGUGGCUUGCUUUGCGAUUUAUCGAUUGAUCUGUCAUUUAACCCUACGGAAAAGGAUCGAUAAACAGGGUGCUCGCAACGAACACCUUCAUAAUCGAUUUUCUACCAUACUUUUAAAUGGGGGAAAAUAGAUAAUCGACCAAUCACGCCUCGUCACUGCUGUUGAUCUUUUCCCAUAGGUUUAAAUGGCAUAAGUUGUGCAAAAUGUGGUUUUGAGUAAUUUAUAGUUUCAUUUGUUAAAUUAUUUUAAUGUUGAUUCGCGUGUAUUAAAAACUGACUAAAAUUUUAAUUUAAAUAAAACUGUGAUCAUAAUUUUUCACCAUGGAUCAUUACUCUACAAUUACCACCUCGAUGUAAGUGAUUAAUUUAUAGAACUGAAUUAAUAAUAGAAUUGUACGUGUCUCCCUGUUGCACCAUUCUAUCACCGGAUGGAUGUAAUUUUUUUAAGGAAGUGUAAAUAGUUCAAUAAUAAAUUAUUAUAGGUAGUCAAUAUUCUGCAAUGUAAAAUGAUUGUUUCUGUUACUGCUUAUUUAAUUUUAAGGUUAUUUGCUCUGAUUUAAUGAUAGAAUAAAGUUUAAUUUAUUUGGUGCGUAACUUAUUGUCGGCUUUAUUUCUAGAUUUCCCUUCAAGAUUUUAAAUGCAUAUAGUUAUGGAAUUGAAAUCAAUGAAAUAUAAAUUAUAAAACAAUCAUUAGAAAACUGAUAAAACUUUUUGUGUAAUGAACAAGGUAAAUGUACUUGAAUGUAAAAUAUACUCAUUCAAACUUUGAGGGGUGUGCAGGGCCGGAUUUAGGGGGCGGCCACAUGGGCCGCACCCAUGGCGGCAAAUUUAGAGGGCAGCAAAUUUUGCAAUGAUUUUAAAUGUAGGUAUAAAAAAUCGGAUUCAGAAAAAAAAAAUUAGAAACGAGAAAAGACGAGAAAAUCUCUCAUUUCCUGAGAGUAUAGUAAUUUCUAAUUUUGUCGUCUAUCGGUGAUACAAGAGACAGCACCUUUAAUUAGUCGAGUUAAGAGAGAAACCAAACUCCCAAUUUGGCCUGGAGCGGCGCGGCACAAGCAAUGAUGACGAGGACUUGAGAUGAAAAGGAGAAGUCCUCGGCGCGGCGGUCGGCAUGUAAGCGCCUACAAGACUGCAUGAAUACUUCACGCAUUGCGUCAAACACUUUAAGGUCGGCAGCGGUCGGCGUGAAACGCAUAGCGCCUACAAGACUGCAUGAAUACUCCACGCAUUGCGCCAGACACAGUGCGGCAGCGCGGCGCGGCAGCGGAAGUUAAAAUUAUUAAACCAAAUUUAUGUUUGUUCUUUCAUAAUUUUUUCGUUAAUUUCUUAUAAUAGAAGGCCUUGUCCACACAGAGAUGGGUUAACGAAACUUAACUUUCGCGCAAAGUUCCGUGAACUUUAGCUACUAGUGUUGACAGGGCUUUCGCAAAAAUAGUGUCCA